CCUAUCGCUAGCCACUCUGGGCGUAGACUUGGUCGUACGAAUCGUAGCUCAGUCUACGGCUAAAUUCGCAAAAAUAAAUUAAACUUCACAACAAAUAGCAAGUCGCAAUAACGAUUAAUAAAUUUAAAGACAACAAAUAUACCGAAAAGAUAACCAAAAGAUAUGAUCAACCCUAAGACUCUAGAGUUGUAGUUUUGCUCCCGUCGAGGAGACGGAGCAACUUCUUUCCCAUACCAAAGAUGUAACAAUGAAUGGGGUGAAAUUGUUUAAAAAUGACUACUAAUCUAUGAAGGCCGUAGCGACAUGAUAGAUUUAGAUCUGUGGUGGGUACUUAGAACCUCUUGUGGCUGGGUUCUAUCAACUACCUAGGACUCUGCUUAUAGACCCUAAUGCGUGGUUGAACUCUAGCCGUGAUGACCGAGCAACUUUUUUGGACCCAUAUCUUGGUCGAAGGGGCCAGAUUGGGCUGAAAUUUUGAUCUAUCAAGGCGAUAGCGACAAAAUAGAUUUAUAAUGUGGGGUGCUAGCUAGAGUCGUAGGUAGAUGAUAAAUUUAAAUUUUAUUUAAAGAUGCAAAUUACAACAGUAAGAUUUGUAAUUUUUAAACUAACACAUAGACUAAGAGGCUCUAAUGCGCUUGAUACUAAGCGCGAUGUUGCUGCACGUUGUCCAUGUGCCAGGUGCAAGGACUUUUGGGUGACAGCUUAUUCCUAUUCCUCUUAGUUAUGCUAGCCUUUUUGUUGGUCUACCACCGCAUAGCGUAUGGAUGGUUUUCCUUGUUAUCCUCGCCAUUGUCACUGUCUGGUGAGGGAGAGCGUGGGCGCUUCCCAUUCACGUCAGACUUGCAAUUGUUUCGAUCCCGGGAUCUUUUGACCAGAUUAUCAAGCUCGCCGUUCGAAAUUAAUUGCUCGACAUAAAGCGAGAAUUCCCUGCAAUAAUCUGUCGGAUGCCCGUGGUCCUUGUGGAAUUCACAGAAUUUUCCACUUUCCCGGCGGCGAUCCUUGGUUGUAGGGUCUAUAGAUCGAGGAGCGGGCAGAUCCGCUCUGUACCUCAGUUUUUCAAACAGCUCGCCUCUGCUGAUUGUUAGUGGGGUCCAGUUCCUCCGAGGUGGACCCCCUGGCGAUCGUUUGACGGAUGUUUGAUACACUUUGUUAUCAUGUUUGGCCUUCCUUCUGAAGGAGCCAGCCACAUGGCUAGUGUAUCUGUUCGAGGAGUCAUUGCUGACUCCUAAGGACUUGAUCGGACUGCUGAUGGCUAGAGUGUCAGCCAGCUUCCGACGGAGGUCCUCUACGAGUCGUGUUGUAAGAGUCCUAUUAGUGCGACUCUUACUGGGUCCAGCUCUUGGCUCUGGACCUUUCUUUUUCCUCGUAGUUGGAUAAUUGCGAGAAGUCGAUUCACACGCUCUUUUGCGGGUGAUUGUUGUCUGACUCCUUGCUUUUUCAAGGUUGCUAACUCUUCUUUCAAUAUUAUCCAUGAAGUUAGCCAACCUUGUUUCUAGGUUACGAGAGAUGGAUGUCCGAGGGGGCAUAUCAGUUUGGGCGUCCUCGAACCUUUCAACUUGUAUGUUUAGUUGAGGAUGCUCAAUUUGUGCCCCGUCGGGUACCCCUGAGGGUUUACCCUCGUAAGCACGCUUUUCAGAUGUCAUUGAUGACAAAAGCGAAUGCCAACCUGAGCGUAGGUAUUGAUUGGACUAACUCAAAAGAAACCCAGUGGAGUCGGCGACUCAGUAGGUGGAGUCGGCGACUGCCUUAGGUUUUCUUGAUUUUUGAGCUGAGCAGAGGCUCGAGAAAAAACCAAGUGGAGUCGGUGAUUCACUAUGGGAGUCGGCGAUUCACAAAGGUGGAAUCGGCGAACGACACUAGUGGAAUCGGUGACUGCUUUAGGUAGUUUUUCCUUCGAGUCUGGCCGUGGACAGCACUCUUAGCUAGCAGAAUAACCCACAAUCGGCGACUCACUAGGUGGAGUCGGCGAUUGCCUGUGUGAAUCGGAAGUUCCUUGACACAAAGUUAGCGACUCACCCGAAGGGAAUCGAGCUAAGCUUUGCGAAGAAAAUUUCGAGAUUACGACGGGAUAUCGUGGUUCGAUUUCCCACAGACGGUGCCAGCUGAUGAAGCACGGAAUCUGCUACCAGUAGGCUCGCGGGGUUGCGAGGAGGGCCGGAGGCUUUGGAGUCCACGACGCACGCUCUACGUCAAUAUACCUGCAGAAGAGGAGGGGAAUCGGCGACUCCCUUGGGAGUAGGCGAUUCGGGCUCCUUAGUUUACUCUGGUUGGGGUGUGUCAAGUGUCAAAUGAGUUGAGGGGAGAGGUCCCCCAAGGACCCCUUUUAUAGGGUCUUGGGGGACGUUUCCCCAUUCAUUAGCGUGGGACCCACCCCAUUAAGGUAUCCUAUUAAGGAAUGCCUUAAUGGGGAGGGUCCGCUCAAGUAACGGCUGGGAGUCGGCGAUUCAGGUGUGGGAAUCGCCGACCCAGAGGUUCAAUCGCCGACUCCCCAUGAGCCUAGUGGAAGCCUACCAGAACUGUCCACGAGGCCUAGAGUCAGCGAUUCACCCCUGGAGUCGGCGACUUGGUAGUCCCAAUCGGCGACUCCCAGGCGCUGCCUUGAGUACUUGACGUAGACACUCCUUCCGGAUUCGUGGAACUCUCCGGGGGUCCGGCAGCAAGUGACGGAACCCUAGUUCUUGUCGAAGGGCGUUGCUGGGAGUGACUGACGUGUUCAGGCAUGUCUCACCACUAUCAGAGUCUGAUUCUUGACCAAGGCUACAGAUCCACUAUCAGAAUCCGAUUCUCGCCUCAGAUAUAGAACCUGCUAACUCACUAUCAGAGUCUGGUUCACUAUUAGAACCUGGUUCACUGACUCACUAUCAGAGUCUAAUUCUGACCAAGGCUACAGAUCCACUAUCAGAAUCCGAUUCUUGCCUCGGAUACAGAACCUGCUGACUCACUAUCAGAGUCUGGUUCACUAUUAGAACCUUUCCUGCAAAAAAUAAAACAUCCUGCAAAACAACUAGAUCAGUCCGAAAACGCAUAUAUUUAUUAUUGAACUUACCGUGUGAUCUACCUUUCGUGAUGUCCCUCCUUUGCUCAAAUUUGUCCUCGGUAAAUCUGGCCGACGCGACAGAUUUUACCGUGCUCAACUUUUUUGACGACUUCUGGCCGGAGCGACAGAAGUGUCGGGAGAGCUUGUGAUGCUCCCCCCGAAUUUCGACGACUUUUGGCCGACGCGACAGAAGUGUCGGGAGAGCUUGUGAUGCUCCCCCCGAAUUUCGACGACUUCUGGCCGACGCGACAGAAGUGUCGGGAGAGCUUGUCAUACUUCCCCAUUGAAAUGUGAUGACUUCUAUUGACAGAAGUGUCGGGAGAGUUUGUGAUACUCCCCCUUGAAAUUUGACGACUUCUAUCCAAAUAGACAGAAGUGUCGGGAGAGCUUGUGAUACUCCCCCUCGAAAUUUGACGACUUCUAUCCAAAUAGAUAGAAGUGUCGGGAGAGCUUGUGAUACUCCCCCUCGAAAUGUGACGACUUCUAUCCAAAUAGACAGAAGUGUCGGGAGAGCUUGAUGCUCCCCUCGAAAAUUGUGCCCUUGUGACACACAAACUUUUGCAACGAGUGUUUUUCGAAGUAUGCGACUAUCGACGAGCUAUCUAUUGUUUUUCCUUUGCUAAUCUUUCAUAUAAAUUACCCUUUAAAUUGUAACUAAGGCCCGAAACUAGAUUCACAAGUCGUAAUUUAGCCGCUCUGGACGUAAAUUAGACUCUACUAAUCCUAUGGCUAGCCACUCUGGGCGUAGGCUUGGUCGUACGAAUCGUAGCUCAGCCUAUGGUUAAAUUUACGGAUAAUUUAUACCUCCAGAUUAGCGUAGAGUUAUUAGAGAUAGAGCGGACGACGUAUCAGAAAUAUUCGACACUCGAGGGUUGCCUUGUAAUUUAGAACCCUAAUGAUGGAGAGAGCUUAUGAUACUCCCUUCUGAAGUGUGACGACUUCUGGCCGAAGCGUCAGAAGUGUCGGGAGAGUUUGUGAUACUCCCCCCUUGAAUUUCGACGACUUCUGGCCGACGCGACAGAAGUGUCGGGAGAGCUUGUGAUACUCCCCCUUGAAAACGUGCACUUGGGGAAGUUUUUAUUGUUAUUUUACCUGGAGUCGGCGACUGAGGCCACCAGUCGGCGACACCUAUGGUCUGGGUAACUGCAGGGGGCAUAUUUGUUUUUACCCCUGUGAGUCGGCGACUCCCUCUGUAAGUCGGCGACUCCUAACGUAACCGUCGGAUCUUUUUGGGAGAUCCUUGGGAUAUUUGAAGAAUAUACGGGGAAUAUUUGUAAAAUCUCCAAAUAAGGAAAUGUAUCUCACAGUGCUGUGAGAUUUUGUUUGGAGUCGGCGACUGCCCUGUGGAGUCGGCGACAGUGGCGUGAUUCGGGGGAUUUAGAGAUCGAUUCUUGAUCUCAAAUUUUGUAAAUUUUGGGUUUUCUAGGGUUUUUUGCAAUUUUCCCAGGGGCUAUAAAUAGUGGAGAGUUUUUCCCCAAAACUACAUAACACUUUUUUGCCUCUUCAAUCGCCUAAAACCCUAGAUUUUUGAGUCGCCGAUUCCCAAGUUUUCUUCCUUCGAAUCGACGAUUCCCAUCAUGACUUCCCCCGAUUCCCACUUGUCCCCUUUGAGAGAAGCUGAAACGUCAGCCUUUAUAGAGGAGAUGACCGCUGAGGGUCUCGAUGAGGUGUUGAACACCGUUGAGUCGCCGAUUCCCUCUCCUAACAGAGAGGUUGAGUCGGCGACUCCGGUCGUGCCACCUCUUAAUAUGGAUCUGAGUGCCUCUGUGCACGAGCUGCUUGGCGCUUCGCCAGUGUCGGCGACUCCCCUUAUGGAGUCGGCAACACAGUGCAAGGCCCUUGUAGUCGUGCGUGAGCCUCUCGAGCUGGGGGAGAUUCCCGAGCCUUCUGUGUCGGCGAUUCCCAUUGUGGAGUCGGCGACACAUGCUGGGCCCAUCAAGGCGAAAUCCUUUAAGCAGAGAGGGAAAGGCUCAGCUGCCAUUGAGUCGGCGACUGCUGGCCGUGACUCGCCGACUCCUCUCAUUGAAUCGGCGACUUGAGUGCUGGAGUCGGCGACUCCCAUGCAGAUAGAUGACUCUUCUGCGCGUCAUACCGCUCCGUUGGUUGUUAACGCAGAAGGUCAUAUUGUGUUGGGACUGAACCCGCACCAAGGGCCAUCUGUGGAUGGUCCUUCUCUGAAAAGAAAACGAAGACGCACCAUUGGUAAGGGCAAGGUACAUGUGCCCGUACAAGACGAGGGGGUCCCUCCGCCUCUCAACAUUAACUUUGACGAGGCACUAUUUGUGGACCGUGGUGCUUCCAAUCCACGUCGUAGAGCGAGCCGGCGCUCUGAAAGAACUCCGCCACCUCCCGUGGCCUUGGAUUCCAGUCGAGAUCCGGACCUCGACCUGAACACGUAUGUUGAAGCUGUGAACCCAUCUGGGUUCUCUCACAGUGAAGUUGUCGUGAAUGGCGAGCCAAGGUUGCUUCCAAUAGGCCGCUCCGGGGACGGCGAGUUCGAACAAGUUAUGACUCACGCAACCUUGGAUGGGUCUGACGGACUGAAUCCCCCUUCGACCCUUAACGCGAGCGACGCUCGAGGACUGCUCUUGGGGAAUCAACUUUCUGGGCAUUUGCGAUUCUGGAUAUCGCAUUACCGCCUGUAAAUCUACCACCCCCGGGAUUCCAGGCUAUCCCAUGGGUCUACUUCAAGCACUUCUCCGAGUUACCGAUUCCGAAGAUAAUCAGCGAAGUGCUUCUGAGUUUUGAAGUGUCCCUGUCGCAGCUCCCGGCGGGAUUCUUCGUGAUCCUACGGGGAUUUCUCAACAUCUGUUGGGGCCUUAACAUUACUGCGACUGCCAGCUUGUUCCUUCACUACUACAAGCUGACCAAAGAGAAGUCUGCAUCCGGUCACGUCGGAUUUACGCGACGUCAUUUCGAUAAAAACAUCGUCGAUGAAUUGCCGACGAACUUUGGAUGCAACUGGAAGAGAGAGUUUAUUUUUAUAACUUCUGUGUUUCUUCCCGGGAGUCGGAAAGCGUGGAAUGAUCCCCAUCGAGUGCACAUGAACGCUUCGAUUGGGUUGACUACGAGGGACAUUGAGGCCUCGGAUCGAAUAGCGCGGACUCUGACUGCAUAUUCCGUGCCGCGCGGUGUUCCCUUUGUCCUUUGCCAAAGGGAGGACUUCACUUUCGAGGAUGUGGAGGAAGCGCACCAACCAUUGACUGAGAAGGAGUUGGAGGGCGGGAAAAAGCGAUCGCUUUUAUACUAUGACGCCGCUCCUAUUUAUAUGCGCAAGAGGUUUCGAGAGGGCAAGCUCAUCAGACUGAGGAAGAAGAGCACGCGUGCCGAGCCUCGUCGGACCUUUGAGCAAGGGUCGAGCUCUCGCUCCGCACAGCCACCUGCUGGUUAUGUGCCUUACACAUCUGCUAGCGUGACACUUCCCGAUUUCAAUGCUGAUCCUGAAACUCGGAGGGAAGCGAUGUCACUCCUUAUGGGCCACCCUGGGUCGUGGUGUCGGAGCGAGCUGCUCAAGCAUAUAAAUGCUGCUUGCUAUAUGGCGCAUGCUUGUUACCACGCCGACUCGAUCCAUGAUAUCGAGAAAAUUCAAAAAAAAUACAAUCAACUCGACACGAAGUUCAUGGAGAGAAAGAAGGCCUUGGACAACCUACGCGACAACAUUCUGCCCAAAAAGGACAAGACUAUCGAGUCCAAGCAGAAGGAAAUCGAUGAAUAUGUCGCGAAGAUAUUGGGACUUCGCAAGGAUCUGAAGGUUGCUACUGCUGGCCAUGCUCAAGAGAUUGAAGACUUGAAGAGCCAGCUAGCUCGCGAGACAGGGCACGUAGCCUCGCUUGAGGCUACUAUAGCGGAGCUGAAGAAGCAAGCUGCCCAACAUCAAAGAAAAACAACCGGGCUGAAGAGUGAACUAGCGAGUGCGGAAGAAGAGAUUCUAGCUCUCAAGGAAGACAAUUCUACACUCUCCGGGAAAGCUAUUGGAUUGGAAUUGGACGUGCGAUACCAAGCCGAUCAGCUUCAAGAGCUCAUAUUCUUUGGUCCUUCCGUGUUUCCUGCUCUACCCCCCGACUACAUCACGGACAUAAUGGCAUGGGUAGAGCAGCAUCCCGAGGAACUGGAGAAGAACAAAGAUGCCCUAGACAAAAUGAAAGACGAAGCUGCCCAAGACUAGAUCUUCUUAGUCCUUAGAUAUUUUGUAUACUUGCUAUCAUUUUUUGUUUGUAACCUUUUUAUCGAACUUAAUGAAUUAAUCGUUUUUGUUUUCUUAUUAAUUGUUCAUUUACUUUGCUCUUUUGAAUUGUAACUAUGACCCGAAACUAGAUUCGCGAGUCGUAAUUUAGCCGCUCUGGACGUAAAUUAGAUUAACCCUAUCGCUAGCCACUCUAGGCGUAGACUUGGUCGUACGAAUCGUAGCUCAGUCUACGGUUAAAUUCGCGAAAAUAAAUUAAACUUUACAACUAAUAGAAACUCGUAAUAUCGAUUAAACUAAUAAGUUCGAAAAGCAACAAAAAAUAUCGAAAGUUAACCAAAGGAUAUUGAUAAACCUUAAGACUCUUGAAUUGUGUUCUAGGUUCCUUACUAUGUAGUUCAACUCCGGCCGAGGCGACGGAGUAACUUUUGACCCAUAUCAAGGUUGUAACAAUGAGAUGGGGUGAAAUCGUUUAAAAACAAUUACUAAUCUAUUAAGGCCGUAGCGACAUGAUAGAUUAUGGUAUGUGUGGUGGGUACUUAGAACCUCCUGUGGUUGGGUUCACUUGUACCUAUCAACUACCUAGGACUCUGCUUUUAGACCCUAAUGCGUGGUUGAACUUUGGCCGUGACGACAGAGCAACUUUUUGGACCCAUAUCUAGGUUGAUGUGACCAGAUUGGAUUGAAUCGUAAUGUAUUAAAGACGAUUUUAAUCUAUUAAGGCAAUAGCGACAAAAUAGAUUCAUAGUGUGGAGUGCUAGCUAGAGUCGUAGGUAGAUGAUAA
RNAcentral lists this long non-coding RNA (8004 nucleotides) under Zostera marina. Its description in RNAcentral is "long non-coding RNA (ZMAR_LNC004506)". The record is from RNAcentral. Lineage: Eukaryota; Viridiplantae; Streptophyta; Magnoliopsida; Alismatales; Zosteraceae.